UUUUAACUGCACUCAAUGAACAAAAUGAUAUCUAGGUGGCAGAAUUUAGUAAAGUUUUAGUAUAUAUUGAAAACAUUUUUGUUUAAUUGAUGUAGUAAGGGAUUAAAUUUCUGUCAGUUUUAUUUAGGCUAUCGAUCAGCUUUGAACUGAAAAAGUUGUUCGAAUUGUAAUUUCCGUCUUUGGCAAAAUUUUUGUGCAACUCACCAAGAUGUUCUUGCAACCCCAAAAUUGGAUUUAAAAUGUUUAAUUUUAUAAAAGUCUAUAAAAAAGUGAAGAAAAAGGCCGAAUACAAUCUUACCUAAGAAUGGAGUUUUUCUCAUGUGCUACACGUGGUAUUUGUAACAAGGGUGAUCGUGACUUCACCGCAUUGUGGAUAAUGAUAGCUCUGGUUUGCACGGCACUAAUCCUUCUUAUUGUAUUUUUGGUUAUAUAUUUUGAGUAACUGUGGUGUACAAUAAAUGUGUAAACUUA
This is a long non-coding RNA of Drosophila mojavensis, 471 nucleotides long. RefSeq lists it as uncharacterized. The record is from RefSeq and is a predicted model, not a curated record. Lineage: Eukaryota; Metazoa; Arthropoda; Insecta; Diptera; Drosophilidae. The transcript has 2 exons.